Molecule: unclassified non-coding RNA, 279 nt
Filed under: plant metagenome
Description: partial contains small subunit ribosomal RNA, internal transcribed spacer 1, and 5.8S ribosomal RNA
Source: RNAcentral
UUUCCGUAGGUGAACCUGCGGAAGGAUCAUUAUUGAAUAACGGAGGUGCGUGGCCUGUUUCUAACCCGCCAGGUCGUCCACGUGUGAGUUCCCUCACCCACAUCCACCUCACCCCUCUGUGCACCCCCGCGGGGGUCCCCCAUUGUCUAUUUCUGCGGGGGGCUUACGUUUUCACAUAAACUAAAUAUGCUGUGUAGCAUGUUUUUUUUGUUUUUGUGCACACACAACCAAUACAACUUUCAAAACCGGAUCUCUUGCCUCACGCAUCGAUGGAAAACC